This is a long non-coding RNA of Dromaius novaehollandiae (emu), 593 nucleotides long. RefSeq lists it as uncharacterized. The transcript is spliced from 3 exons. Lineage: Eukaryota; Metazoa; Chordata; Aves; Casuariiformes; Dromaiidae. The record is from RefSeq and is a predicted model, not a curated record.
UAGAGGACAGAUGGCAGAAAUUUCCCAAGGGAGAAAAGAGAAUUACUACAGAAGAUCAGGAUCAGACCUGAACAGGAAGCUUGUUCCCAUCUUGAGGGUAAUUGGUGUGAAGUCCUACCUCCUCAAAGAACACCAACUUUUUCAGCAGACAAUUUCUAGCUUCCAUGCCGCCUUGGCUCAUCUCAAAGGCAAAGAAAAAAAGACAUGAAUAGAAGAAGCAUCAUCAGUGUUGCAGAAUCUGAUCCUGGCAGGUGGAAGGAUGAAGGCCAUAUGUGAUCAAUGUGGUCUAUAGAGCAAAAGCAGAUCAUUACUUUCAUGAAUGAGGUGGGUUAUUCUUGUGUUAGUUGGGCAAGAGAAGCAAAGUCAUGGUGUAGCAAAACACAAACACUUAAUCUGGUAAGAUAUGUGUAUCCUCUGCAUUUCCAAAUGCUUGUUUAAAGGUUAAUCUAUAUUAUGGUUUCACUUUAUGGCUUGCCAGUGCAGCUCACUGAUUGUACAGUGCUCUCAAAACAAUCUGCCAUUUGAGAAAUCCACUAAUAACGGUCAAUAGUCAGCAUCAGAAAUGGUCUGGGAAAUGCCCGUUCCCUUCAAAG